Molecule: ribosomal RNA, 466 nt
Filed under: uncultured bacterium
Lineage: Bacteria
Description: partial 16S ribosomal RNA
Rfam family: Bacterial small subunit ribosomal RNA
Source: RNAcentral
GACGAACGCUGGCGGCGUGCUUAACACAUGCAAGUCGAACGGAAAGGCCCUGCUUUUGUGGGGUGCUCGAGUGGCGAACGGGUGAGUAACACGUGAGUAACCUGCCCUUGACUUUGGGAUAACUUCAGGAAACUGGGGCUAAUACCGGAUAGGAGCUCCUGCUGCAUGGUGGGGGUUGGAAAGUUUCGGCGGUUGGGGAUGGACUCGCGGCUUAUCAGCUUGUUGGUGGGGUAGUGGCUUACCAAGGCUUUGACGGGUAGCCGGCCUGAGAGGGUGACCGGCCACAUGGGGACUGAGAUACGGCCCAGACUCCUACGGGAGGCAGCAGUGGGGAAUAUUGCACAAGGGGCGGAAGCCGGAUGCAGAAACGCCGCGUGCGGGAUGACGGCCUUCGGGUUGUAAACCGCUUUCGCCUGGGACGAAGCGUGAGUGACGGUAAUGGGUAAAGAAGCACCGGCUAACUACG